GGGAGCCUCGUUCAGCUCUUCCCCUCCACGUUUCCAUCAUGCAAAAGGGCAACUCCUCCAAGAACAUCUCCUCAGACCUUCAAAAGAGAGAACCCAGGCCAUAAAUCGUCACUCACCCUUCUCUCCUCACCUUUCCUCUCGUCCCUGGACACAUCAGUCUGUUUACGAGCCAAAAAACACCUAGUUAGAGACCUCCGAUCAAAAAACUUUCUUCACCAAAGUUGUUCGUCUAUGUCUCCUCUAUUUUAGCCUCAAAAUUUCAGCUCCAUCGGAGUCAAUUUGAAUCCUGUACACCCCUCGAAGCGGAAGCUGUUCCGGAGCAAGCCUGUUCCGGAUUUCUGCUUGAAUUCCCUCUCUUGCUCUACCCGAAUCCCCAACACCUUGCUUGAGACUGAUACCAACAGUUGGUAAGAUUCUUAAACUAUCAAGUUCCUAAUUUAUUCCUCAAUUUUUAGGCUCAAUACGCUCAAAACAACCCAUCUACAUAUUGAGCAGUCUCUGUUUCACUUUGCAUAUUCGAGAUUGAGCGAACUUCUUGGCCUGCGGCUGGACUCGAUCCAAUCAGCUUCCUCAG
RNAcentral lists this long non-coding RNA (574 nucleotides) under Rosa chinensis. RNAcentral describes it as "sRNA RchiOBHm_Chr2g0132631". Lineage: Eukaryota; Viridiplantae; Streptophyta; Magnoliopsida; Rosales; Rosaceae. The record is from RNAcentral.